UACGAAGGGUGCAAGCGUUACUCGGAAUUACUGGGCGUAAAGCGUGCGUAGGUGGUUUGUUAAGUCUGCUGUGAAAUCCCCGGGCUCAACCUGGGAAUGGCCGUUGAAACUGGCGAACUGGAGUGUGGCAGAGGGGGGUGGAAUUCCGCGUGUAGCAGUGAAAUGCGUAGAGAUGCGGAGGAACACCGAUGGCGAAGGCAGCCCCCUGGGCUGACACUGACGCUCAGGCACGAAAGCGUGGGGAGCAAACAGG
RNAcentral lists this ribosomal RNA (253 nucleotides) under uncultured bacterium. Its description in RNAcentral is "partial 16S ribosomal RNA". It matches the Rfam family "Bacterial small subunit ribosomal RNA", at positions 524 to 776 of the family's 1533-position model. The record is from RNAcentral.